This 652-nucleotide ribosomal RNA is filed under the name uncultured eukaryote. RNAcentral describes it as "bacterial SSU rRNA". It matches the Rfam family "Eukaryotic small subunit ribosomal RNA", at positions 4 to 569 of the family's 1831-position model. The record is from RNAcentral.
CUGGUUGAUCCUGCCAGUAACAUAUGCUUGUCUUAAAGAUUAAGCCAUGCAUGUCUAAGUAUAAGCAAUUUAUACGGUGAAACUGCAGAUGGCUCAUUAAAUCAGUUAUAGUUUAUUUGAUGGUUCCCACCCCUUUUUUUGCCAGUAAUGGUGGAAAGAGGACUACAUGGAUAGCCGUAGUAAUUCUUGAGCUAAUACAUGCAUAGAGUCUUGGUGAGUCAAAUUACCAGGAUGCGUUUAUUAGAUACCCUUAAAACUGAAGGCCCCUAUGGUAGCAAUAUCAUAGGAAAUAAUGCUUUGGUGAGUCAUAAUAACUGAGUUCAGCGAAUCGCAGUGACUUUUCAUAGUCGGCGAUAGUUCAUUCAAAUUUCUGCCCUAUUAGCUUUCGAAGGCUGUGUAGUGGACAGCCUUGGCGUUGAUGGGUGACGAAGAACAAGGGUUCGGUUUCGGAGAGGGAGCCUGAGAAACGGCUACCACCUCUAAGGAGGGCAGCAGGCGCGUAAAUUACCCAAUGGGGAUACCCCGAGGUAGUGACGAGAAAUAACGAUACCGGAAACCUCCUUAUCAGAAAUGAUAUGUCGAGGUCUGGUAAUUGGAAUGAGCAUAAUUUAAAUCCCUUAGCGAACACCAUUGGAGGGCAAGUCUGGUGCCA